RNAcentral lists this unclassified non-coding RNA (372 nucleotides) under fungal sp. Its description in RNAcentral is "partial internal transcribed spacer region". The stretch from base 1 to 46 matches the Rfam family "Eukaryotic small subunit ribosomal RNA", at positions 1786 to 1831 of the family's 1831-position model. The record is from RNAcentral. Lineage: Eukaryota; Fungi.
AAGUCGUAACAAGGUUUCCGUAGGUGAACCUGCGGAAGGAUCAUUAUCACGUAUCCACGUAUAACCAUUGUGAACUGUACUUUUCCCUCUGUCGUGCAUGAGGUCGUGAGAUGAAUAACAUUAAGGGCUAAGUUCUGUAGUAAUUUAUAGCCUGUUAUUCUGUUUCCAUGGAAGAAGAAAAGUGUUGACUCGUUCGACUCUUUUUUUCUAAACAUACUCGUACACUUCAGAGCGUAACAAAAUUACUAUUUUUAUUGUAUUUAACAAUUCUAACCCAAUUUUGAACAUUGACUUAACUUUUUCAUACGCUUAGGCGAUGAAAUUCAUUACGAAACAUAAGAACAACUCUUAGCAACGGAUAUCUUGGUUCUC